Molecule: ribosomal RNA, 485 nt
Filed under: uncultured bacterium
Lineage: Bacteria
Description: partial 16S ribosomal RNA
Rfam family: Bacterial small subunit ribosomal RNA
Source: RNAcentral
GAUGAAUGCUGGCGGCGUGCUUAACACACGCAAGUCGAGCGGUAAGGCCCUUUUAGGGUACACGAGCGGCGGACGGCUGAGUAACGCGUGGGAACAUGCCCUCAAGUGAGGAAUAAGCUCCAGAAAUGGAGUCUAAUGCCGCAUAUGAUCUUCGGAUUAAAGGAUUUAUCCGCUUUAGGAGUGGCCUGCGUACGAUUAGCUUGUUGGUGAGGUAAUGGCUCACCAAGGCGACGAUCGGUAACUGGUCUGAGAGGAUGAUCAGUCACACUGGAACUGAGACACGGUCCAGACUCCUACGGGAGGCAGCAGUGGGGAAUAUUGGACAAUGGGCGAAAGCCUGAUCCAGCCAUGCCGCGUGUGUGAAGAAGGUCUUCGGAUUGUAAAGCACUUUAAGUUGGGAGGAAGGGCAGUAAGUUAAUACCUUGCUGUUUUGACGUUACCGACAGAAUAAGCACCGGCUAACUCUGUGCCAGCCGCCGCAGUAA